Molecule: long non-coding RNA, 1547 nt
Filed under: Pandoravirus celtis
Description: hypothetical ncRNA
Source: RNAcentral
GGACGCGCGCCACGUCGACAACGCCCUCGGCGCGGGCGAUGGCGUCGGGCGGGAGUACGGGCACGCCGCGCACAAUGGAGAUGGGCACGUCGCCCGGAUCGGGCUCGUCGGCGGCCGGGAGGCGCUCCUCGAACCCGAUAACGUCGCCUGUGGCCCGGUCGAACAAGGGCACACGCUCGCGACUCGUGGCGGCGCGCCGCUCAAUGUCCCUGGCGUCGUCCACCAGUGUAUCAAUUUGCUGCAAAAAGGUGACCAUAGCGCGCGGUCCCGCCCCGCCGAUCGCGGCCUCGGCGCUGCCGCCCACCUGGGCAAAGGCCUCCUCCAACAGGCGCCGCCGCAGGGCGUCAUAGGCCGCAGCAUAGUCGACGCCCUCGGUGACCCUUCCGCUGAGCACGGCGCUCACGAGCCACUCGAUGACGGCGGCCUCGUCGCCCGGCGGUAGGGGUCGGUCGCCGGUGAUGGAUGCAAACAGGGCGCCCAGGGCCGCCUCCAAUUCGACUUCGGCCUCGGGCGACACCUCUGGACGCGGCCCGCGCGGCCGUCUUUGUGACCGCGCACGUCGGCGCUCUUGGAUGGCGGGCUCCUCCUUGUCAGAGGGACGCCCUGCGAGCCGCGCGAGAUCCCUUAGUGCCUCAUUGCGUGCUGCGGUCCUUUCCACCAACUCUUCAAGGCGCUCGCGUACGGUGCCGGCGCGCGACAAGACAACGGGCCGCAUGGCAGCACGUGCCAACCGACGCACAUGCCGACGCGCCGGUUCGAUCAUGACUGGCACGACAAAAGAGAGCCUCUGGGCGUCGUCGGCACCCAGACCGCCAAAGCCCUCUAGGGCGUCGCCAAUGGAUGUGCCCUCGUAAAGAUCCCUGGGCGACAGGCCGGGCAGCGGCGCAAUGGCCUCAAAGUCAAAAAGACGUGGAUGGGGCAGAAUUACCCGGUAGGCAUCAAGGUCCGCAUCCGGCGGCAGGGCGCCACGCUCGGCGAGGGCUGCGAUCACUUGGGCGCGCGUCGCAUCGCGAUCGACCAGCACGGCGUCGGACCCGACGAGAUCUCCAUUAGUGUCAAACACAUAGGCAGCGAGGGCGGCCACAUCCGGUGGCUUGUCGGCAAGCGCCUCGUCGGCGGCCGCCGGCAGGCCCGGUCCCAGGCGCACGGGUUCGACGGGCACAUGGCGGCACACGGUGCGCUCGGCAAGGACGUCGGGGUAAAAGGCCGCCAGGUACUCGCUGCGGGUCAUAUAGUCGCGCGUCUCGUGGUUGACAAAGGUCUGGGUCACCGGCUCCCAGCGCCACCGGGCGGCCUCGGCCGGAUCGCCGGCGGUCGGCUGGCGGCCAGCCAGAAAGGGCACCUCGUCGGGCGCCAGUGUCCUGUAGGAGGUGGCGUAGGCGAGGCCCAGCCGCUCCAGGAUGCCCUGCUGGCGCUGGCGGGCCUCUUCUUCGAGCAAGGCAUCGAGCGACGGCUCCAGCGCCAUGGUGACAACCGACGGCGGUUGCUCCUCCAGGACCACCGUCGAUUGACCUCUGCGCGACUGCAUCAUGGUUUUUCUUUUUUUC